AGAGUUUGAUCAUGGCUCAGAGCGAACGCUGGCGGCAUGCUUAACACAUGCAAGUUGCACGGGCAGGGGUAACUCUGUCAGUGGCGGACGGGUGAGUAACGCGUAGGUAUCUAUCCUCGGGUGGGGGACAACCACGGGAAACUGUGGCUAAUACCGCAUGAUGACUGAGGUCCAAAGGCGCAAGUCGCCUGGGGAGGAGCCUGCGUCCGAUUAGCUUGUUGGUGGGGUAAAGGCCUACCAAGGCUCCGAUCGGUAGCUGGUCUGAGAGGAUGAUCAGCCACACUGGGACUGAGACACGGCCCAGACUCCUACGGGAGGCAGCAGUGGGGAAUAUUGGACAAUGGGCGAAAGCCUGAUCCAGCAAUGCCGCGUGGGUGAAGAAGGUCUUCGGAUUGUAAAGCCCUUUCGACGGGGACGAUGAUGACGGUACCCGUAGAAGAAGCCCCGGCUAACUUCGUGCCAGCAGCCGCGGUAAUACGAAGGGGGCUAGCGUUGCUCGGAUUGACUGGGCGUAAAGGGCGCGUAGGCGGUUCGUACAGUCAGACGUGAAAUUCCUGGGCUCAACCUGGGGGCUGCGUUUGAUACGUGCGGACUUGAGUGCGGAAGAGGGUCGUGGAAAUUUCCCAGUGUAGAGGUGAAAUUUCGUAGAUAUUGGGAAGGAACACCGGUGGCGAAGGGCGGCGACCUGGUCCGAUACUGACGCUGAGGCGCGAAAAGCGUGGGGGAGCAAACAGGAAUUAGAUACCCCCGUAGUCC
Molecule: ribosomal RNA, 756 nt
Filed under: uncultured bacterium
Lineage: Bacteria
Description: bacterial SSU rRNA
Rfam family: Bacterial small subunit ribosomal RNA
Source: RNAcentral